Molecule: ribosomal RNA, 1315 nt
Filed under: unidentified marine bacterioplankton
Lineage: Bacteria
Description: bacterial SSU rRNA
Rfam family: Bacterial small subunit ribosomal RNA
Source: RNAcentral
GAGUUUGAUCAUGGCUCAGAACGUACGCUGGCGGCACGCCUAACACAUGCAAGUCGAACGAAGUAGCAAUACUUAGUGGCAGACGGGUGAGUAACAUGUGGGUAUCUGCCCUUUGGCCUGGAAUAACACGAGGAAACUUGUGCUAAUACCGGAUAAGUCUUUACGGAGAAAGCUUUAUGCACCAUUGGAUGAGCCCGCACUUGAUUAGUUUGUUGGUGGGGUAAUGGCCUACCAAGACUAUGAUCAAUAGCUGAUUUGAGAGGAGGAUCAGCCACAUUGGGACUGAGACACGGCCCAAACUCCUACGGGAGGCAGCAGUGGGGAAUCUUGCACAAUGGAGGAAACUCUGAUGCAGCGAUGCCGCGUGAGUGAAGAAGGCCCUUGGGUUGUAAAGCUCUUUCGUCGGGGAAGAAAAUGACUGUACCCGAAUAAGAAGGUCCGGCUAACUUCGUGCCAGCAGCCGCGGUAAUACGAAGGGACCUAGCGUAGUUCGGAAUUACUGGGCUUAAAGAGUUCGUAGGUGGUUGAAAAAGUUAGUGGUGAAAUCCCAGAGCUUAACUCUGGAACUGCCAUUAAAACUUUUCAGCUAGAGUAUGAUAGAGGAAAGCAGAAUUUCUAGUGUAGAGGUGAAAUUCGUAGAUAUUAGAAAGAAUACCAAUUGCGAAGGCAGCUUUCUGGAUCAUUACUGACACUGAGGAACGAAAGCAUGGGUAGCGAAGAGGAUUAGAUACCCUCGUAGUCCAUGCCGUAAACGAUGUGUGUUAGACGUUGGAAAUUUAUUUUCAGUGUCGCAGCGAAAGCGAUAAACACACCGCCUGGGGAGUACGACCGCAAGGUUAAAACUCAAAUGAAUUGACGGGGACCCGCACAAGUAGUGGAGCAUGUGGUUUAAUUCGAAGAUACGCGCAGAACCUUACCAACACUUGACAUGUUCGUCGCGACUCUAAGAGAUUAGAGUUUUCGGUUCGGCCGGACGAAACACAGGUGCUGCAUGGCUGUCGUCAGCUCGUGUCGUGAGAUGUUGGGUUAAGUCCCGCAACGAGCGCAACCCUCACUUUUAGUUGCCAUCAUUAAGUUGGGCACUCUGAAAGAACUGCCAGUGAUAAGCUGGAGGAAGGUGGGGAUGACGUCAAGUCCUCAUGGCCCUUACGUGUUGGGCUACACACGUGCUACAAUGGUAUCUACAACAGGAAGCAAGACUGCGAGGUCAAGCAAAUCCUCAAAAGAUACCUCAGUUCGGAUUGCACUCUGCGACUCGAGUGCAUGAAGCUGGAAUUACUAGUAAUCGUGGAUCAGCGUGCCACGGUGAAUGCGU